UUCCGUGAAAAAAAAUUAUUGGCUCAUAGGCUUUCUUUCAAUUUACUGAACAAACUUUUCUAAGUAACCCAUACAUUUUGAAGCCUCUAACUAUUGAAAAACAAUGAAAAACUGGCGGCACGCCGUUUUACCCCACGGUCUCCAGAAAAAUAUUUCAUGUUGUUAUCCCUCUCGACCCCCUGUUCCCCAUGAUUUUACCAUUACGUUGUGGUGAAUUUAUGAUCAGCUGGCUUCACUUAACAGCUGACUGAAAUGACAGAUAUGGUUUUGUUUAUAAACAUAUAUGUUUUCAUUACCUAGCACUCCUACGAAAAUUUUUUCGUCAGAUUGGUCAAAUUCGUCAAAGUUCCAGCGGUUCCAGCUCUUCAUCACCGGAAACGAAAACAGGAUUAUUUCGGUCGCAUGUGUUUUUCGUGUCUAGAGGUGAAGGAAGUGUUACCGCGGCGCAGUUAAUUCUAAGUAUGAAUGGAUUCCGAUCCAUCCUAUGGAUGAGUGGAUGAGGGCGUAAUUUCAACAUUGACACACCUGAGCGCAAAACAGGAAUGUAGAGGACUUGCUGUAAGAUGACGAUCGGACCCAACCUCGGCCGCCCCGGCACCAAGUACACCGCCAGCGAUGACGCCUGUACAACCAGCAUCAUAAAAGGCGGAAAUACCACAAUGCCAUAACCAACGGCGAAAGCUUCGGCCUCCUGAUACCUGAAUCCAGAACGGUUAAUAGGACGAGAGGCCACAGGAUCGUCUUUUACCGAAGUGUUCCCCGAGAGGGUGCAGAACGUGACCGACGCAUUGACAAGCUUCUCCGUGGCCAGCCUGAAACCGUGACCAGGCUUACCUGCAGCUGCAACGUAACCUGGAAUUUCUGGAACAUCGAGCGUGCUCGAGGUGGAACAGACCUAGGCGCAAUUGCUGCUGAUCCGUUGGUGGUGGUGGCCAGCGGUAUGCCCACGUAUGCCAGCUAUGCCACAGUUAGCGGCGCAAUAAUCUCCCACUCUUCCAGUGUUACAUUUGAAAUAGAUUAUUUUCGAGAAAAAAUAUAUUGGCACGGGUAUGUUUCUCAA
This is a long non-coding RNA of Aedes aegypti (yellow fever mosquito), 1060 nucleotides long. RefSeq lists it as uncharacterized. NCBI's taxonomy places the organism in Eukaryota, Metazoa, Arthropoda, Insecta, Diptera, Culicidae. The record is from RefSeq and is a predicted model, not a curated record. The transcript has 2 exons.